This 375-nucleotide ribosomal RNA is filed under the name uncultured Glomeromycotina. RNAcentral describes it as "LSU rRNA". The record is from RNAcentral. Lineage: Eukaryota; Fungi; Glomeromycota.
UUGAAAGGGAAACGAUUGAAGUCAGUCGUACCAGCGGGAAAUCAACCUUUCGAGUGUGGGUUUUGGAGUUUUGAAGAGUUUCAAAACCUUUGAGAUUUCAAAAAUUUCGCUCUUUUGGUGUACUUUCUCGUGGGUAGGUUAACAUCGAUUUUGAUCAUCAUAAAAAGAUUGGAGGAAUGUAGCUUCGAUCUUGUAUUGAAGUGUUAUAGCCUUUGGUAAAUGUGAUGAUUAGGAUCGAGGAUUGCAACGAAUACCCUUCUGGGCUAUCCGCCUGAUCUCUGAUACGUGGCCUUGGCAUCGAAAGCUUGCUUAUGGUAUCAAGGUAUUACGGUCAAAAGGUUAGAACGGAUUACAUUCGUUAAGGAUGUUGACGUA